CAGCUAUUCGGUAGCUUCACACAUGCAGUCGUACGGGAAGAAAUUUUUAGUGGCGAACGGGUGAGUAACGCGUGAGAAUUUGCCUUUAGGAAGAGGAUAACAAUUAGAAAUCUUUGCUAAAACUCUAUAUGCCAGUUAAUCUGGUGAAAAAAGAAAUUUGCCUAAAGAGAAGCUCGCGUCUGAUUAGCUAGUUGGUGGGGUAAAGGCUUACCAAGGCGACGAUCAGUAGCUGGUCUGAGAGGACGAUCAGCCACACUGGAACUGAGACACGGUCCAGACUCCUACGGGAGGCAGCAGUGAGGAAUUUUCUGCAAUGGGCGAAAGCCUGACAGAGCAAUACCGCGUGAGGGAUGAAGGCCUACGGGUUGUAAACUUCUUUUCUCAAGGAGGAAGAUCUGACGUUACUUGAGGAAUAAGCAUCGGCUAACUUCUGUGCCAGCAGCCGCGGUAAUACAGGGGAUGCAAGUGUUAUCCGGAAUUAUUGGGCGUAAAGCGUCUGCAGGUGGAUUUUUAAGUCUUUUGUUAAAUGUUUGGGCUUAACCCAAAAUCUGCAAAAGAAACUAUUGAUCUUGAGUCUGGUAGAGGUAGAAGGAAUUUCCAGUGGAGCGGUGAAAUGCGUAGAGAUUGGAAAGAACACCAAAAGCGAAGGCAUUCUACUGGGCCAUGACUGACACUCAGAGACGAAAGCUAGGGGAGCAAACAGGAUUAGAUACCCUGGUAGUCCUAGCUGUAAACGAUGGACACUAGAUGUUGUUGAUUCACUGGAUCAGCAGUGUCGUAGCUAACGCGUUAAGUGUCCCGCCUGGGAAGUAUGCUCGCAAGAGUGAAACUCAAAGGAAUUGACGG
RNAcentral lists this ribosomal RNA (846 nucleotides) under uncultured cyanobacterium. Its description in RNAcentral is "bacterial SSU rRNA". It matches the Rfam family "Bacterial small subunit ribosomal RNA", at positions 31 to 916 of the family's 1533-position model. Lineage: Bacteria; Bacillati; Cyanobacteriota. The record is from RNAcentral.